AAAAGAUGAACUAAAAGAAGAUUAAGGAAGUCAGAAAUGCUAAAUGAGACCAGAUCAAAUAUAUCCUUUGGCCCGAACUUGAAAACACUUAGGGAACAGAAAGUUCCAUUUAUAAGAUGUUACCCUCAUAUGGAGCCUACAAACAAGUACCUCUAUAAAUAUACCUGCCAGGAUUAAAGCUAAAGGAACUGGAUCCUGUUGCUGUUCU
Non-coding RNA from Lonchura striata (white-rumped munia), 208 nucleotides. Lineage: Eukaryota; Metazoa; Chordata; Aves; Passeriformes; Estrildidae. The record is from RefSeq and is a predicted model, not a curated record.